Molecule: long non-coding RNA, 5443 nt
Organism: Carassius gibelio (silver crucian carp)
Lineage: Eukaryota; Metazoa; Chordata; Actinopteri; Cypriniformes; Cyprinidae
Exons: 3
Source: RefSeq, a predicted model, not a curated record
CGCUAUGGCAACCACUACAGAGAGAACCCCUUCCUGACAAACUAACUGAGCCGCAUUUUUAUUACGUGUAUUAUGAUUAUGAAAAUAACAGUGCGUAGAGCGUGUCAAAAAUGUGAGAACUAACGUUAGUUAUUCUGUAAAAAUAAGUCUAACUUAGUUAACUUACAUGCGACGGAACGUUAGUAGGAGAAAAGAAAGAAUCAAACUGCUAUUGACUAAGUUACAGAGACUGAAAUAAAUGAGCAGCCUACAAAAAGAGUAUCUGCGUGACUUAGUGUCUUAUUUUGUCAAUAUUCCGUAUUUGAUUUUAAUUAAGUAACACGCGCUUCACUUCGCCUGCGGGAAUGAUUUAACAACCUGGAAAGCUUUUAGACGUUUUCAGGGAUGUUUGCCAGGGAACAUCAACGCUCACUGACCGACCGCCUUUAAGAUUGAUAGAAGCGAAGAAAGCUCGCGCACGACUGACUGGAAGAACGCUUUCUUGAGAAAGCGCGUGAUCCCGCCUCACCUCACAGUAAAACAGCCAGAAAAGCUUCAGGAUCUUCUCAAGGUCUGCAGCUGCUCUUCAAACAGAUCGAUGGACUUCACAUAAAACAGGUGGUGUACUUCCACACUUCUCUGUGCCUGAGUUCUGUGGUGGUAGUGGUGGAGUUGGUGUCUUUGUCUAACAGGGCAGACGGUUCCCAGGAUGCAGUGGGGUCAUGGUUUGGUCUCCUCCAGCUCUUCACAGGUCGUGCAGACUCCAGUAUCUCUUAGGAAGAGGGCAGGUUGAGUCUGUUCAAUGGGACCCCUAGGAGCCCUCCUGCACCCAACGCUGAAAGACCCUGAAAGAACCCCAAGCUUUACAUUCAGUCAAUAGUUCAUAGUCCACACCUUUAGCAGCUCAAGUCAAUAUGAAAUUAUAAAUUUGUACUCUUAUUUUUUUUAAUUGAGUACAUGUUAAUGUUGAUUUAUUACAUUUGGCAAUUAAAGUAAAUUAUGAUAUAUUUGAAAAAGAAGUUAUACCAUUGUGAUGCAUUGAGAUGUCCUUGAAAACAAGCUUUCAAGGUAGCGGACAUCAUGACCAAGUCAGAAAUACCCGCAUAAGUGGGUUCCAGUUAUAUUUCAGCAGGCAUUCGGAUGCGACUCUGUUCUGAUAUUCAACACACUGAGACUGUUUUGAUUAUCCAAUCAAAUCCCACCCUACUUUUUUCACAUUGAAAAUGCUGAGUGACACGUAAAUCUGUCAGAUUGCAUGAAAUAGGUUGUGAAUUGUGUUCCAUAGUCUUUUAAAGCUGAAUUUUUCAGUCAGUGAAUGUGAUUUUGAAACGACGAGAUCAUAGUUUUCUUCUAGGCAAUUCUCUACGAUUUUUUUAGGUGGGUACAGUAGAUAGAUGUUUCAUUGAUGUGAUUACCCCAGCAGCACAGCAGGUAUUUGAAGGCUUGACUGAACCGGCCUGAUUUCUGGGAAAGUGCAUGUGGUGAAAUUUGACUAGAUAACAUAUUCUACUCAUGGUCUCAAAGGAGUCAAACUGAGGCAGAGACAACAGCAAGAGCUUAGUAAUACAUAGUUGAUAAACAGCACUUUAUGCUUUCUGACACUAGUGAUGAGAAACUAUUUGCAUAUGUGUGUGUGUGUUUGCCUCUUUUUUCAAAUGCUUUCGAUAUUCAAUCUGCCUUGUCUUUACCAUUUCAAUUCAUUUCCACUUGAAAGCAAAUUGAAUUAGGACUAUUUCUUGCAUUGCUGUUGUAAGAAAACAAUGUCUAUCCUAUCAUGAUCAUUUCAGAUCAUUUCAGUUUUCCUAUCCUUCCUAACGCUGAAAGGUUGCUUCUUUUGAAGGAGAAUCUGAAAUGUGUAAAUUAAAGGAAAUAGUUAGAACUCGCCUAUAAUUGAAGAGAUUCUUGAAACAGAUUUCAGAAAGUAACCUCAAUUGAACACUAUUCUUUAAUGUUGACCUUUUUUGCUGUUGUGUUUGGCAGAGUUUUCAUACCCUGGAAGAUGCAUUAUUUGGUUUUGACCUUGUUUUAUGUUUGAGAAUAGCUUUCAGAUUCCUUUCUUCUAUUUAUGUUCUUAUCCUUUUAUUUCUUAAUGAAUAUGUUCCACUUUUUGCCAUUUAUUUUAUUGAAACUUGUAUGUCAUGCAUUUUAUUAUAUAUAUAUUUACAUAUUUGUAGUGAUGAAGUAUACAGUUGAAGUAUUUUAAAGAAUUCUUUUUUUAUUUGACAUUAUUACAACGGGCCCUUUUUAAAAGUGUUAUAAAUAUACUAAUAUAAAAUAUACUUCUAAUAAUUUGAAGUACACUACAAGUGUGCAAUUAAGCACACUUCUUUUUGCAAGGGAUAAGUUAAUACCACAGAAGACAGAAUUUUUUCCCUUGGAUAUUUGACUUUCUAAACAACGAUGUUUAUGUAACUGCGAAUGACAAAACUAAUUAUGUAAUUUUGUUUUAUAACGAGAGUUAUGCAGUUUGUUGUUGUCCCAUCAUACUGCUUGCUUUGUAGAUGUGUUAAUCUCGACACUGAGGGCACCACAUGAGAGUGGUUCAUGGAUGAAGUGUAUCUGCAGGGUGUCCAGCUGUUGGAGUGGAGAGGGAGCAACACUGAUCUAAAAUUCUCUCUGAAUCCAACCUAUCCUUCUAGCUGUGUGUCUCUGUGCUACCUGCCAUUCUGUCUCAAUUAUGCCUCUCCAUGCUGGAGGGAGGAGAUAUCCCGCUGUCUCUCUGAGAGUCUGAGCCUGCUAGGGCCUUUCAGAUCACACAUAAACUUGCUGUCAAACAUAUACAUAGGUGCAAACAUUCUUUUGCAUGACUUAUAUAGUAGUGUACACACAUGUAGCCAUUGUCUGCUCCUUAAUAUUAUUGAAGCCACCUCCUGGAUGGCGCAGAGAUUAGGAAAGUGAAAAAGACGAGACCUAGAGCAGUGCUUCUCCACUGGAUUUUCUUCAGAAUCCUUUGCAAAACAUCAAGUGAUGACCUGAUUCGCUACCAAGCCCAGUUCAGUUCUGUUCAGAUCAGUUCAGUUUGAUUCAUUUUGUUUUAAAUCAGUUUAAACUUGAUUUAGUAAGUUUAUUUUGAUUUCAUUGAAGUUAGUUCAGUUUAGUUACACGAAACGUUGUGAAAAGCCUGCGUAUUUGACAAUUCUGCAUUUUGUUUACUUCAUCUGUGAUAAGUAUAUAUGUGAGCACCGUGUGAGUGCCAUUAUCAGGAGCAGAGUGUCCGGCUUACAUGUCUGUUUUCAUGAACCGAUUUUGGACAGGCUUCUGAGGCAGAGUAAUGGUCUACAGCAUGAUCUACAGCUAUAUAUAGAAGUGCUGGUUAUAACCUGUGGAUAUUUUGUACAACAUACAUUUAAUAAAUAAAUAAAUAUAAAUUAUACGACACUGACCGCAAGGAGAAGGAGGAGAAUGAGGAGGAGGAUGAGAAGAACGAGGAGGAGGAGGGGAAGAGGUGGAGAAGAAGAGGAGGAUGAGAAGGAAAUGGAGAAGGAGAUGGAGAAUGAGAAGAAUGAGGAGGAGGAUGAGAAAAAUGAGGAGGAGGAUGAGAAGGAUGAGGAAGAGGACGAGAAGAAUGAGGAGGAGGAUGAGAAGAAUGAGGAGGAGGAUGAGAAGGAAAUGGAGAAGGAGAAGGAAAAGGAUAUGAAGAAUGAGAAGGAGAUGGAGAAUAUGUAGAAGAUGGAGAGGGAGAAUAAGAAGGAGAUGUAGAAGAUGGAGAUGGAGAAAACAAAAGGGACUGCUGUUUUCUCCCACUAGGGAGAUCACCCUUUGCCACGAUACUUGUAGGGGACCGCUGUUCUAUCCCUCAAGCGAGGGACGAAAACCCCUCAGAAGAAAGGGACUGCUGUUUUCUCCAGCUGGAGAGAACACCCUUGCUGCUAUAGCUGCAGAGGACUGCUGUUCAUCCUUCAGCAGGGGAUCAACACCCCUGCUACUUAAAUCAAGAGGGGACUUGCUAUUCUCUCCCUCGCGUCUAGAGGGGAGAAUACCCUUCUCCUAGCAUAGGCUUCAUUAAGGACAUCUCAAUAACAUUAUCUUUCUCUUUUACAGGAAUGGAACAAGGACAAUUUCAGGGGGUCUUCACACUACUUUCCUACUGCUCAUACCAAGCUCAGGGACAUACUGCUUGUCUUGCAGUUCUCCUGCUGGAGAGAAUACCCUUCGUUGCUAUUGCCAGCUACUUUAAUUAAAGAGAGGCCCACUACUCUCUGCCUCAUUAGAGAUGAGAAUACCCCUUCACUAGCCAGUAGGCUACAUUAAGGAUAUCUCAAUAACACAGAUUUUACUCUUUGCAGGAUUGGAACAAGGUUGGUUUUGGGGGGGUUCUUCUUCAGGCAGUAAUACCUCUCAUUAUGUUUUGGGGGUUAAUGUUAAAGCUCUUGUAUGUUCAAUUAUUCUGGGAGCAAGAACCCCCAUAAGUUACCAUACCGCCAAAGAUAAAUUGUGUUCAAUAAACUCAAGUAAACUUGCCAAAGUGGUUCCUGUCUGAAAUUGGAGGAAGUGUUACCAUCUGUAGUUUUUAGCUUUUUUUUAAGGAUCAGGAUGUUUUUAGGGCUCUAUGUAACCUGCACAUAUUGGCUUUAACCUCAUUUCUGACAGAUUUUAUUCCAAAAUACCCAUCUAUUUUAUUUGGUUGUACAGCAAGUGAUGUCAUAAACUUGGAGAGGAAUGCAAAUUUUUGCUAUAUUUUAUGUUCAAUUAUUUGGAUGGUUGGUUACAUUUUAUUUUUUAGUAUUAAGCAUUGAUUUGGAACAUUUCUGGAUCAUGACCUACAAGUUGAGAACUACUGGCAUAGAGGAUGCAUACAGCACUGGCAGAGCCUAAUAAUGCUGGCACACUGAAAUCUGUGCUUCAUUUGAUGUGUUUGUCUGUGCGCAUGUCUUUGUGUGCGAGCAUAGAAGAGAGAGAGACGGAGAGAUGUGAGAAUGAGUGAGCAGUUUUUCAUCUCCGAAGAUUAGAAUUCUUAUUUUGACACACUUCAGUGUUUGUAGACGGCUGAUUUUGACAAGCAUAGUAGCUUGUAGUCAUUUUUUUUUCAGAAUAGAGACAAAUAGAUGCAAAGCCACAUUGAUGUUGUUACAUCUGCUGUUCCUUCACCCGUGAAAGAAAUACAUAAUAAUAACCUUGAAAUAUGCCAAAGAAAGAUUUGUCAUGUUAAAUUAGUUGUUAAAUCAUAGGUUUAAUCAUGAAGUAUUCGAUGGGAAUCAGCAGCAAAGCUAUUGGACAGAGAGCUGUUGGUUCGGGUACACUGAUUGCUGUUUUUUUUAUUUUAAUUGGAAUAAUUUUACUGCUGUUUUUUGAGCGAUGUCCAGGUUUAUACAUGUGCUUCACAUAUGCUGAACCUUGGUGUUUGUAUAAGAGAUACAAAUCUGUCUUUUUUCUGCUUUCUUUGUUAAUAAAUAAAUAAAUAGACAAACACAUGCUGCCAUUCAAAAGUUUGGGGUUAGUAAGAUUUAUUUUAAUACUUCUAUUU